CAGCAGCCGCGGUAAUACGAGGGGUGCGAGCGUUGCUCGGAAUUAUUGGGCGUAAAGGGUAGGUAGGUGGUUUCGUUUGUCUGGGGUGAAAGCCUUGAGCUUAACUCAAGAAGUGCCUCGGAAACGGCGAAACUCGAGUACUGGAGAGGGUCGUGGAAUUCCCGGUGUAGCGGUGAAAUGCGUAGAGAUCGGGAGGAACACCAGAGGCGAAGGCGGCGACCUGGACAGUUACUGACACUCAACUACGAAAGCGUGGGGAGCAAACAGGAUUAGAUACCCUGGUAGUCCACGCUGUAAACGAUGGGUACUAGGCUUGGCGGGUCUUGACCCCUGCUGAGCCGGCGCUAACGCAAUAAGUACCCCGCCUGGGAAGUACGGUCGCAAGACUAAAACUCAAAGGAAUUGACGG
Molecule: ribosomal RNA, 409 nt
Filed under: uncultured soil bacterium
Lineage: Bacteria
Description: bacterial SSU rRNA
Rfam family: Bacterial small subunit ribosomal RNA
Source: RNAcentral